AUCGUUUCCGAUCGUUGGAUC
RNAcentral lists this microRNA (21 nucleotides) under Oryza sativa (Asian cultivated rice). Its description in RNAcentral is "osa-miR5801c-5p". Lineage: Eukaryota; Viridiplantae; Streptophyta; Magnoliopsida; Poales; Poaceae. The record is from miRBase by way of RNAcentral.